GCUUCUGUGGCUCAAAAGGGUAGGGUGCUGGCCCCAUAUGCCAGAGGUGGCAGGUUCAAACCCAGCCCCGGACCA
Non-coding RNA from Otolemur garnettii (small-eared galago), 75 nucleotides. NCBI's taxonomy places the organism in Eukaryota, Metazoa, Chordata, Mammalia, Primates, Galagidae. The record is from Rfam.